Long non-coding RNA from Bubalus bubalis (water buffalo), 907 nucleotides. RefSeq lists it as uncharacterized. NCBI's taxonomy places the organism in Eukaryota, Metazoa, Chordata, Mammalia, Artiodactyla, Bovidae. The transcript is spliced from 3 exons. The record is from RefSeq and is a predicted model, not a curated record.
UAGCUUCACUCUUAAUAAGAAAAACGUGUGUUAAACCCACAAGGAGCAGGCACUUUAUCAAACUGGCAGUUACACAGCUGAGGGCGUGGAGAAGCAUUCACACUCUGCUGGUGGGAUUAAAACCCAGUUUAACACCUCUGGAAAGGAAUCUGACCAUACCUCCCAAAAUUAGGAACACAUUCAUCCCACUGAAACAAAAUGCCUUCACUGAAAGACUUGACAGAGAAGCAGAGUGGCAUUGCCAAGUGAGUUUGAAAAAGGAGAGGAAAAAAAGGAAUGAGAUUGAAAACAGAUUAUUGGGGAGAAAAGUAUUUCAGACUCGAGACAACUGUCUCUAUAGCCUCUGGCCCCUGUCCCACUCAUUCCCCUGCCCUGACGCAAGGCUGGCAGGAAGAAGGUGUUUCUCCUGGGAUUGUUCAAACCGAGGACCAAACCCUGCCUGAGGCUUAACUAUCUGCACAGGCUGGCAGCAUGCCUGAGGCCAGCUAAGCGGUCUCCAUGCUCCUUGAACUCUCCGCUCGAGAUACAAACCCUUCUGUUCAGAGAGGUGGACUCACCUGUCCAGGGGACCAGCCUAGGUAGCCGUGGAAUUGAGAUGCUAAAGUUUGGCCUCUUAUGACCAUUAUAUUCCCCUCUGCAUGGAGAGGAAGGAGAAGCAGCCUGAACAACCUUGCCCCAGCCCACCAGGCCCCAAGGGCCUUCACACCUUAGAUUCCGUGUGCUAAAAGUCCCUGAGCACAGGAUUCUAAGGAACCCAAUUUAAUGAUAUUAACCCCACCUGACAGGUGGGAAAUCUGAGGCUCAAGGAAGUGAAGAUCCAGGAUGCACUUUGAACCAGCUCCGGUUGAGUAUCUCCUAUGUACCAGACAUUGUGUCAGGUGUUAAAUAUAUUCUCCCAUUCGAUUCA